Non-coding RNA from Podarcis lilfordi (Lilford's wall lizard), 6183 nucleotides. Lineage: Eukaryota; Metazoa; Chordata; Lepidosauria; Squamata; Lacertidae. The record is from the annotation of a GenBank genome assembly.
CAAAUUUUAUUGAUUACAUAUAUAGGUAGGCUUUGGCUCAGGUACUGGGUAUAAAUCCAUCAUCAGCCUCCAGAUGGAGGGCUGAUGCUUAAGCAGGAUCAUGCCUGAGGUCAUUCAAGAUGUGGGUCUACUAAGGUGGCCCUCUUUAGGCUGCUGAGGGACACUCUACGGCCCGUCUGCCCCAUGAUUGUCUUCUGGACAGAGACUUCCACUUACCCCAGCUGGCCCCUGAUAGGGCAAUUUCAAACUUUAAGGCAGUGGCUGGCCAGGGAGGCAUUCCAACAGUCAUUUCACCCUCCAAGUGUGUGAGGGGCUGCUGCCCUGGACAACAACCUCCGUCCACCUCUGGACCAGGUAAGCAGUCAUUCUUUGCAUCAAAAGAAUGUUCUCAUUGGUGACAAAGUCCCACAAGAAUUAGAUGAUAAAUUUUAAAUUAUGUACAUACACAAUAAACACAAAAUAAUGGGUGUGCAUGUUCACAUAUAAAACUCUUAUAGUAUCAUUUAAAAUGAAUAUACAUAAAAGUAGUUCAUAGGAAAAUUAUAAACAAUGCAGAAUAUAGUCUCUGAAACAAUUAUUUUGCAUUCAUCGCUAACCUAAUAUUAACACAAAACUUUCAUAAGCCCAAAUGAACUAGGAAACAGAUUGUUUAUGUGUGCAAAUUGAUAUUGUGUAAUGGGACAUAAAUGUGAUUUAUUUCUUUUUAAUUUAAAAUAUUUUAAGACCACACUUCAGGGCCCAUCCAAAGCAGCUUACAUUUAAAAAAUAAAAAGAUAAAAAGAUAAAAAGAAUUCAAACUUUUUAAACUUUAAACUACCACUCAACAGUGCUACACAUAAAUAAUAAUAAUAAUAAUAAUAAUAAUAAUAAUAAUAAUAAUAACGGAAUUGGGGAAAAGCAGACCAUCACAGAUCUAAAACAGUUGUGCCUAGAAGGUUAUCUGAAAAACAAAUACAGUAAGUCUUGAGGGGCAUCCAAAAAUCCUGCAAUGCAGAAAGCUGAUGCAGGUCUAGUGAAUGGAAAUUCCAGGUAUAGGGCGGUAUAGAAAUUCAAAUAAUAAUAAUAAUAAUAAUAAUAAUAAUAAUACAUAGCCAUGAGGUCACCUCAAAAAAUGACUUCUCCAAUGAGACCACCUACGGAACUGACCAAGGGAUAGCCACACAAGGAGAUCUUUGAAAGCAGACCUUAAAGUGUUGACACAAUGGCAUGGGUGCAGGCAGUUCAAUAAGCAGCUUAGACCCAAACUGUUUAGGGCUUUAAAGGUCAAAAGUAGCACUUUAAUUUGAGUCCCAAAACGCACCAGUGUACAGGACAACUGACAUAAUUGAGAUGCUGCUCACCCUACCCACAACUGGACUCUGGGAAGCACGUUCUGGACCAGCUGAAGUUUCCAACCUGUCUUUAUAGCACAUUACAGCCAUCUAGUUUGUAGCCGGCAGAAGGCAUUCCUGUUAUUGCAUUUGUUCACACUGCUGAAGCAUAUUUGACCACAGUCAUUCAAGUUGACUGAUUCCUGAUAUAGUUUCCUUCAUGGUGGCAAAAAACAACAGUGCAAUUAUGUGUGGUCUUAUAGCACUUGUAGGUAGGCCUCCACAUGCCUUCUUACUAAAUUGCUCUUCAUCUGAAACCAGAGUUCACAAAAUACAAAUAUAAUAAAAUGUAUUUCAUAUUAAACAUUAAACCACUGUAAAACUCCACCCACCAUACCCAGCAAUAUAUUUUAUUCCAAGCUGAGAAUUAAUAGCCAGCAAAGGCCUGGGUAAACAGGUAGGUUUUAAGCAGGUGCAGAAAGCUAAUCACAGUCAGUGCCUGACUUAGUUCAGAGAGAGGGAGUUCCAAAGGGUAGACACUAACACAGAACUGAUUCAAAGUUACAGCGCCUCAUUUCAUAGCAUUUUUCAUAGCAUAACUUUCCCUUUCCCUACCCCUUUCUAAACCUUAAUUCACAGACACGGGGGAUGGAGGUUACUCACAGAGGCACAUACCAAGGACCUGGGUUAGGGAUCCUGUAACAAGCAAAAUUAGGAAAUUGUGAAAUUUUGCUGUUUCUCUGAAUUGUAAUCCUUGUUGUGAAUUGUAAUCCUUUCCCCAAUUCGUCUUCUUCAUUCCACUAGGCCUUCUCUGCCCCAAAUUGCUUUCUCUGAAUUGCUUCUCCACCUUGGCUUCUCUGCUCAAAGUGCCUUCUCUGAAUUGGCACUGAGACAGAACUGCUUGGAGACAGAACAUGGGAUGGGAAAGCACUGUCCUAUAUCAUAGGAUCUAGAAUGCCAUUGGCUUACAGGACCAGCAAUGCCAAAAUCCAAGUUGAUCUCUGUACUAUUCUUUUCGCAGUCAUAGGAAUAUUCUCCCUUUGCAUAGUCCCAAAGUUUCUGUAUAGUGAAGUAGAAAAGUUCGUGUUGCUGACAUUGCUCGUCAACUAGGCCACACCUACUUCUUAGCCUUCCUGUAAGAAGAAUCCAUUCACAUACAAACAAACACACAAAUGUAACUGCUCCAUCCUGGUUGCCAUGCAGUUGCUAAGGCUUGAACUAUUUCUUACCCAAGUAGAUACAUUGUGUUCUGCAAAGCUCACAACUUAUGUUUUCAGUCCAAUUGGGUUACAAACACAACUUUACUUAACUUUUAAAGGGAUAAAGGUAAAGGUAAAGGUCCCAGACAGUUAAGCCCAGUUGCGAACGACUCUGGGGUUGCAGCGCUCAUCUCGCUUUACUGGCCGAGGGAGCCGGUGUACAGCUCCCAGGUCAUGUGGCCAGCAUGACUAAGCCGCUUCUGGCGAACCAGAGAAGCACAUGGAAACGCCGUUUACCUUCCCGCCAGAGCGGUACCUAUUUAUCUACUUGCACUUUGACAUGCUUUCGAACUGCUAGGUUGGCAGGAGCAGGGACCAAGCAACGGGAGCUCACCCCGUCGCAGGGAUUCGAACCGCCGACCUUCCGAUCGGCAAACCCUACGCUCAGUGGUUUAGAACACAGUGCCACCCACGUCCGUUAGAGGGAUAAAGGGAUAGAAUAGAAUAAAUGGGUUUGAUACAUUUAUUUAAAAGCAUUAUAUAUGACUAUGUCAUAAGCAUAAAUGUCUCUAAACAACAUUAAGUUACUAGGUUUUCAGAUAUAUGAAUUAGCCCUAGUACUUUUGCUUAUUAGGGUUGCCAACUUACUAACAUGUUUAAAAAUGUACUGUCUUUAGCUGUGAGAAGUGCUGUCUAUGGGAUAGAAUGUUGGACUUGGACCAAAGAGACUGGACCAAAGAGACUGAAGAUUAAGUGUGAACUCCAUAAUUUGGUGGUGUAAGGUUCUCACACAAGUGAUUACUGUACUUAUUAACCUGAAAUAGCUAGAAUUGUCAUUCAGAACAAUCAGAUAUAACUUUGACAUAAAUGCAUUAAGAACAUAAGAAUACAGAUUCCUGAAUAUAUCUAGUUCAGUAUCCUGUUCUCAAGAUGGUCAACCAGAUGCUUAUGAGAAGCCCACAAAGGACAUGUGUAAGAGACCGCUCCCAUUUGCAAUUACCAGCAACUGGUUUUUAAAGGCAUACUGCUCUUGGAGGCAAUAUAGCCAUCAUGAUCACCAGUAGCCAUUGACAGCCUUAUGCUUUAUGCAAUUGUCUAUUCCCCUUUUAAAAGCGCCAAGCUGAUAACCAUCUCUGCAUUCUGUGGUAGUGUAUUCCUAUAUGCUGUGUGAAGAAAUACUUCAUUUUGUCUGUCUAAAACUCCCUCUAUUUAGCUUCAUUCAAUAAUGCCAGGUUCUAGUAUUAGGAGAGGGAGAAAACUUUCUCUCUCUCCAUUUUCUCCACACCAUGUAUAAUUUUAUACACCUCCAUCAUGUCCCCACUCACCUUUUUUCUAUACUACAAACCCCAUAGUCCUCAUAGUCGAGUUGCUCCAGCCCCUUGAUCAUUCUGGCUGAGCUUUUCUGUACCUUUUCCAGCUCUAUAACAACCUUUUUGAGGUGCAUUGACCCAAACUGUACACAGCAUUCUAAGUGUGAUCGCAGCACAGAUUUUAUACAUUAGCAUUAUGAUAUUAUUUUUUUUAUCUUCAAUCACUUUCCUAAUGAUCCUCAAUAUGGAGUUCAGCUUUUUCACAUCUACUGCACCCUGAGCUUCUUCACCGACCUAGUUUCUUGCAUUGAGCCAUUUGUGCCAUUUUAAUUCUCAUCCACACCAACUAGAGAGAUUAUUUUGAGCUUCUUGUAAUCUCUGUUUGUUUUAACUACUCGGAAUAAUUUGGUAUCAUCAGCAUACUUGGCAAUGUUACUGCUCACCUCUAACUCCUGGUCAUUUAUGAACAAAUUAAUUCGUCUUCAGCAGACUUGUUCUAUAUGCUUGGUAACUCUAUCUUCAGUGGAUACCACAAGGACCCGAAGAUAGGUGGAGAUAUUUGCUCAACUUGUCUGCAAUAUCAUUUUCCUCAAUAUUUUAGUUGUAUAUGUUAUGAUAUUUAAGAAUUGGGCAAAUUUAUAUGUAAUAUUAAUAUCUUAAAAGAGGCCAAUGUGUUUUUUUUGGGGGGGGGAAAUGUUUUCAAAUUAAGAACUCAUAUUGUUGUGAGGGAGGGUUGGGGGGGGGUCAGUCUGCAUGAUGCCCUGAGUUCAUUCCAAUUCUUGGGUUCAAGUAUCUGUGGGGUUCAACUUCCGCAAUAGGCAUUGGAAAAGUUAGCAGCGGGUGGGUGUAAAUUUGAGGCUGAUAGUAUUUAGUUGCCAUGAACAACUGUUCUAUGUAUACUGAGAUGAUUCCUUUCCCUGACCUUGCCCGCUGAAGUAAUGUAGAUUAACUGAAGAACACCUUCAUUUGUUUUGGUAUUCCAGAUGAGUAUCUGUCCAGCAAUGCAACUUAAUUUAUGGCAGCAGAACCCCCAUCAUUCCAGACAUUUUACAACUUUUGCCAUGUUACCACUAACCCUGACCAACCACAAGCAAAUAGGGAGGCGGAGGGAGCAGUACCAAUAGCAAAUAACGUUUUAUGAUAGAUUGACCCACAUACAGAUCUUCUACACUACAGGUCAACAUUACUGAUAGCUGCAGGAUAUAGCUCAACAGAAUUGCUACUGGCAAGAGAAAUCAGAACCACCCAAUCCAACUCUAGAGAAGAAUCUCAAUCCAAAUUAAAAUAAGUUAUGAGCAGCACAAUUUAGUGCAAGAUCUACCAUGUUUAACUCCAGGCAAGAGAGUUUAUCUCAAACUUGAUGUAGAAAAGACAUAGCAGACUCCACUUACUGUCCAAAGAAAAAACGAAACACUCAGAUCAUAUUUUACUCAGGGGUGGAAUACUUCACAGAAAGAAAUGCCAUCUUCCUAUUCCUAAGAAGGCACAAUCGCUGAAUGCACAAAUGGUGUUUGAAAACUCAAGUUCAUCUACUGAGACUCAGCUAGAGCCAUCGUGUAAGACUGACAGCAAUAUUACUACUCAGACUGUCAAUUGCUCUAGACAAGUUAUUUGGAAGCCUUCAAGAUUAGAGAUGAGUGACUGAAUACCUGAAUACAUACAGAUUUCAACAGCACUGAUUUAUUUAAUGGCUUCUUUAAACAAAAGAGGGAAAAUGUAUAGAUAAUGUCAUUACGUAGUUUAGUCACUAGGUAUCACUGACUUAAUUGUAUCUGGAUGGAAUCUUGGGUUUAUUAUGUUACUUACUUACUUACUUACUUACUUAUUUAUCACAUUUAUACCCCACCUUUCCUCCCAACGAGCUCUAUGUGGAAUACAGUGGUACCUCUAGUAGCAGACGUAAUCCAUUUUGGGGUGCCGUUCGCACCCCGAAAAGACCGCAACUAGAGUGCCUCUUCUGCGCAUGCGUGGGUGGUGAACCCGGAAGUAAACACUUCCGGGUUUGCCACGUUCGUAAGCUGAAAGUCCGUAAGAAGAGCGGAACGCAACAUGAGGUGUGACUGUACAUGGUUCCCCCCCCCUCAAUUAAUCCCCACAACCCUACUGUGUAGAGGAUUUGGCUGAGAGGCAGUGAGUGGCCCAAGGUCACCCAGUGAGCUUCAUGGGUGAGUGGGGAUUUGAACCCUGGUGUCCAAUGUUCUAUUCCAACACACUAACCACUGAUGGCAUGUUACUGCUGUGUUCUUGUUUUAAAAAAUGCAACAACGUUCUUGUCUAACUUCCUAUUUGGUGUAACCUCUAAGUUAUCCAUGAAUUGUAAACCCUUUGGACAGCUGUCCCUUUGUUUAAUAAUAAAAAGUGGUG